UACAGAGGGUGCGAGCGUUAAUCGGAAUUACUGGGCGUAAAGCGUGCGCAGGCGGUUUUGUAAGCCAGAUGUUAAAGCCCCGGGCUUAACCUGGGAAUGGCAUUUGGGACUGCAAGGCUUGAGUGCGGCAGAGGAGACUGGAAUUCCUGGUGUAGCAGUGAAAUGCGUAGAUAUCAGGAGGAAUACCGAUGGCGAAGGCAGGUCUCUGGGCUGACACUGACGCUCAUGCACGAAAGCGUGGGGAGCAAACAGG
RNAcentral lists this ribosomal RNA (253 nucleotides) under uncultured bacterium. RNAcentral's name for it is "partial 16S ribosomal RNA". It matches the Rfam family "Bacterial small subunit ribosomal RNA", at positions 524 to 776 of the family's 1533-position model. The record is from RNAcentral.